UUUUUUUUUUUUUUAUUUUUAUUGCUUCCCACACUGACAAUGUUCACUUCAUUAAAAACAUGUAAUCCCUGAGCUGUGAUCAAGACAUAAUUGCACUUUUUUGGGGUAUUAUAAGAACUGAGAUGUUUUUUCUUACUUUAUCACUGAAACCCCUCUUAUUCUUCCAUGACUUUGAGUAAUCCCCCCAACCUGCAAGGGGAUUCCAGGCUGGAACUCUGGCACCAGGGCUCAGUUUCCAUGGAUUUAAAUAGUUGUACUCCCAGAAAACAAUAAAAUAUUGCUUUUUGCCCCCUCAGUUCCCUUCCAGCACUCACAGAAGUGCAGAAUGGUUUGGGUUGGGAGGGAUUUUAGGGAUCAUCCACAGGCAGGAUAAUCCAGCUCCAGAUCCAGCCUGGCCUUGGACACUGCCAGGGAUCCAGGGGCAGCCACAGCUGCUCUGGAUAAAGAACAAAUUGUGGAUGUGGGGAUAAGUUUGAUUUAAUUUCACAUAAAUAGAUUUAAUUGUUGCCUUUGGAGCAUCCAGAGUGAAGAUGGAAUUUACUGUAUGGGAAUUUUGAUACAUAAUUAAGAAAUCCUACAGAACUGCCAGCCCCAGUAUUAAUAACUCAUGGUAGAGUUGAAGAAACAUGGAACAUGAGUGUGCAGGUAAAUUAAUUCCAGUUUUUUGAUGUAUAAAGCAAACUUUAUCAUUACCUUGACUUCCAGUGGAGUUCCUGCAGGAAGAGUUGGUCCAGGCAAACAAUCCCAGCCAGUUUCUUCUGAAAGGGAACAGUUGUCUGAAAUGAGAUCUGAUGAAACUCUAUCUGAAAUUAAUUCCAAUUACACUUCAGACAGUGGGGCGGGAGAUUCUGCAGCAGCAAACCUUCCCAAAUAAUUGCUGAAGAGACAUCCAGAAGUUUCUAGAGUGCCAAAUCUGCUCACUCCUUUUUCUCCCUCCUUUCCACAUGGAUGCUAUCCUGUUUUGCUGAGUCUUUAAAUAAGACCAGAAUGUGUCUGGAGAACAAUAAAAAAAAAAACAAAGAAAAAGAGAUGCUGUUCCUGCAGCACGAAGCGGGAGCGAUUCCAAGCAGAAACUGUUUCUAUUUUGAGGUUUUCCUCUCUUCCCCUUCCCAGUGGUGCCUGUUUGGGGUUGUUGGAGCAUGGAAAUAACAAAAUGGGAGAGUGCUUUGUCCUUGGCCUCUCAGUCCUGAUCCCCGGGGGAUCCUGCAGCUCCAGGAGAGGCUGAAACAGCCCGAACUGGGCUGGGCAGGGAAACUGAGAUCAGAGCUGGAGCUUUCCCUGCUGCCCACCCUGCCCGGGGCGCUGCUGCUCCAGGAGAUUCACCCCUGA
This 1329-nucleotide long non-coding RNA is filed under the name Taeniopygia guttata (zebra finch). RNAcentral's name for it is "lncRNA (ENSTGUG00000025351.1)". The record is from RNAcentral. Lineage: Eukaryota; Metazoa; Chordata; Aves; Passeriformes; Estrildidae.